This 253-nucleotide ribosomal RNA is filed under the name uncultured bacterium. Its description in RNAcentral is "partial 16S ribosomal RNA". It matches the Rfam family "Bacterial small subunit ribosomal RNA", at positions 524 to 776 of the family's 1533-position model. The record is from RNAcentral.
UACGGAGGGAGCUAGCGUUGUUCGGAAUUACUGGGCGUAAAGCGCACGUAGGCGGCUUUGUAAGUUAGAGGUGAAAGCCCGGGGCUCAACUCCGGAACUGCCUUUAAGACUGCAUCGCUUGAAUCCAGGAGAGGUGAGUGGAAUUCCGAGUGUAGAGGUGAAAUUCGUAGAUAUUCGGAAGAACAUCAGUGGCGAAGGCGGCUCACUGGACUGGUAUUGACGCUGAGGUGCGAAAGCGUGGGGAGCAAACAGG